CCUACGGGGUGCAGCAGUAGGGAAUCUUGCACAAUGGGCGAAAGCCUGAUGCAGCAACGCCGCGUGCGGGAAGAAGGCCCUAGGGUUGUAAACCGCUUUCAGCAGGGAAGAAAAUGACGGUACCUGUAGAAGAAGGUGCGGCCAACUACGUGCCAGCAGCCGCGGUGACACGUAGGCACCAAGCGUUGUCCGGAUUUAUUGGGCGUAAAGAGCUCGUAGGCGGUCCAGUGAGUCGGGUGUGAAAACUCAGGGCUUAACCCUGAGACGCCACCCGAUACUGCUGUGACUAGAGUGUGGUAGGGGAGCGGGGAAUUCCUGGUGUAGCGGUGAAAUGCGCAGAUAUCAGGAGGAACACCAGUGGCGAAGGUGCCGCUCUGGGCCAUUACUGACGCUGAGGAGCGAAAGCGUGGGUAGCAAACAGGAUUAGAUACCCGCGUAGUC
RNAcentral lists this ribosomal RNA (441 nucleotides) under uncultured bacterium. RNAcentral's name for it is "bacterial SSU rRNA". It matches the Rfam family "Bacterial small subunit ribosomal RNA", at positions 338 to 795 of the family's 1533-position model. The record is from RNAcentral.